AUGCCAACAGUCGUCGAGAGGUUUGUGGACUGGACGGUGUCGUGGCUGCCGAUGUAUGGAGAUGCGAAGAUGUUGGUCGUCAUCUAUCUCUGGCACCCCAGCACACGAGGUGCGGGGCACGUGUACGAUGGCUUCCUCCAUCCACUGGUGGCGUGGCAUGAGGCCGACAUCGACCGGGGCCUUCUUGAGCUGAAGGCUAGGGCGAGGGACAUGACGGCGUCACAACUCAAGGCGGCGGCUGCCAUCGGUCCAGUGUGGCUCGUUGAGGCUGCCCGCUAUGUUUCAUCGCAGAUGCAGGCCAUGAGAUCAGGUCGGGAAGGCGCCACGCAUUGA
This 333-nucleotide ribosomal RNA is filed under the name Triticum aestivum (bread wheat). RNAcentral describes it as "partial small subunit ribosomal RNA". Lineage: Eukaryota; Viridiplantae; Streptophyta; Magnoliopsida; Poales; Poaceae. The record is from RNAcentral.